Long non-coding RNA from Phodopus roborovskii (desert hamster), 1236 nucleotides. RefSeq lists it as uncharacterized. The transcript has 3 exons. The record is from RefSeq and is a predicted model, not a curated record. NCBI's taxonomy places the organism in Eukaryota, Metazoa, Chordata, Mammalia, Rodentia, Cricetidae.
GGCGUGAGGCUUGGCAGUGAGCCAAGAAGGUUUGGCUUCUGGGGAGCAACGGUGACUACAGUAGGCUCCCAUGAGCCCCACCCCUCAGUCCUUCCUCGCCCUCCCCCUCAGCAAAGGAAAGCAGUGAAAAACGUGUUUUUAUAAAUAGCUCCAGCCCCAGCUGAUUUGUAAAUUCAGUGGGUUUUUUUGUGUCAAUGACAUCACCCUCCUCCCCAUGGCAACCCCCGACGAUAUCAAAAUUGCCAGGCAACGUUGGAGCUGCUCGCGCCCUAAAGGAGCAGGUCGCUGCCUGAGGAUCUAAUGGAGAAAUCCCAAAGUGAGCUAGGGUGCACGGUGGAGGAGGGGCUCGCCGCGGCCGGGGCUGCCGGGCCCUGAUCGAUCGGCCAGAGGAAGGCGGGAGUGGCUGCUGCUUGCUCCGCAGCCUGGACCAGCCCGGGGCUCCACGCCAGCUCCUCCUGACAGCAUCAGCGGAUCACAGCAGGUGGGGGGAGGGCACAGCUCGGUUCCUGACGUACCGGGAGCAGCAAGCAGCCAUCCAGGUGACUAAGCCUGCCCACUGCCACUGAGUCACACGCCCGCCUUGGCUUUUCUUCCUUCCCCAUUUGCAUCUGAUUAUUUGGGCAUCUGAAAACUUGGAGGUGUACCUGAGGCCCGCCCCUUCUAACUCUCCCCUCCCUACCUCGGCUGGGAGGAAGAUGGAACUCGCUGGGAAGCUGCCACUACCCCCUAAGGACAUGGAAGGCACGGAGGGAGCCAGAGGUGCCCAGGGAGAGACCGCAGCUGGCAGAGUACAAUAGCAGACAUGGUGAUCAGGCUGCCCAUGUGUCCUCUGAAGGUGCUGGAAGAAAAGGGGAGUCUGGUCCACACCGACUGGAGACCUCUUGUGUUUGCUUUGAGCUCACCUCUCAAGGGGAUCUUUCUGUAAACGUGUGGCUUCCAGAGCCGUUGGUAUUUGGAGAGCAAGGCUGGAUUGGCAUAGGCAGGCCUGUGCAGGUAGAGCAGCUUUCUGGGCUCUAGACAAGCACCAGCCUGCAGUGGGAGAGGGUAAGGCUCAGCUGCCCAGGAGUGCCAAGGCCGGCAGAGGACUGGCCCUGGAAGGUCCUAGGAUCUUCCCUUCCCUUGGUGCUCUACAGAGCUGACUGAAGACUAGUGAAAGGAGAGGAGAGAAGGCCACAGGAGGUGAGUGAGGGGACACCUGCUCCAGACCUUCCUGGGAGGUAGGUUGGGAGGGACAGU